GUUUCCGGCAGCGGACGGCCAAGAAGGGCCGCCGCCGCUGCUGCUCCGUUCACGCCGCGUUAGCGGCGCUUGGCCUUCGGCCGCGCCGCCCCAGCCUCGCCCACGACGUCGCCUCGCUUCGACUCCGUCUGUCUUGGCCGUGGGUGGCCGGCGGGCUGCUGCAACGCAUGCAGCGCCGGCAGCCGCGGCCUUGACAGCUCGGCGUCGAGCUCGGACAGCCCGUACCCUUCUCCCUCUCGUCUCUCACACUCAACAAGGCAACGAAAAGAAAA
This 272-nucleotide long non-coding RNA is filed under the name Salvia miltiorrhiza (redroot sage). RNAcentral describes it as "long non-coding RNA (SMIL_LNC012012)". Lineage: Eukaryota; Viridiplantae; Streptophyta; Magnoliopsida; Lamiales; Lamiaceae. The record is from RNAcentral.